UGCAAGUCGAGGGGCAGCAGGUGUAGCAAUACAUGCUGGCGACCGGCGCACGGGUGCGUAACACGUAUAUAAUCUUUCCUUAACUGGGGAAUAGCUUUGAGAAAUCAGAAUUAAUACCCCAUAACAUUGCGAACUGGCAUCAGUUUGCAAUUAAAGCUCCGGCGGUUAAGGGUGAAUAUGCGCCCCAUUAGCUAGUUGGCGAGGUAACGGCUCACCAAGGCAACGAUGGGUAGGGGUUCUAAGAGGAUUUACCCCCACACGGGAACUGAGACACGGUCCCGACUCCUACGGGAGGCAGCAGUAAGGAAUAUUGGUCAAUGGACGCAAGUCUGAACCAGCCAUGCCGCGUGCAGGAUGAAGGUCCUACGGAUUGUAAACUGCUUUUGUAUGGGAAAAAACCCCUUGUUUCUACAAGGGCUGAUGGUACCGUAAGAAUAAGGAUCGGCUAACUCCGUGCCAGCAGCCGCGGUAAUACGGAGGAUCCGAGCGUUAUCCGGAUUUACUGGGUUUAAAGGGUGCGUAGGUGGAAUGUCAAGUCAGUGGUGAAAACCUGCAGCUUAACUGUAGAACUGCCAUUGAUACUGUCAUUCUUGAGGGUAUUUGAUGUAAGUGGAAUGUGUCAUGUAGCGGUGAAAUGCUUAGAUAUGACACAGAACACCCAUUGCGAAGGCAGCUUACAAAACUACAACUGACACUGAGGCACGAAAGCGUGGGGAUCAAACAGGAUUAGAUACCCUGGUAGUCCACGCCGUAAACGUUGAUUACUAGAUGUGUGCGCGUUAGCGUACGUGUCAAAGCGAAAGCGUUAAGUAAUCCACCUGGGGAGUACGACCGCAAGGUGAAACUCAAAGGAAUUGACGGGGGCCCGCACAAGCGGAG
RNAcentral lists this ribosomal RNA (879 nucleotides) under uncultured Bacteroidota bacterium. RNAcentral describes it as "bacterial SSU rRNA". It matches the Rfam family "Bacterial small subunit ribosomal RNA", at positions 56 to 934 of the family's 1533-position model. Lineage: Bacteria; Pseudomonadati; Bacteroidota. The record is from RNAcentral.